Long non-coding RNA from Salvelinus namaycush (lake trout), 2811 nucleotides. RefSeq lists it as uncharacterized. The transcript has 5 exons. NCBI's taxonomy places the organism in Eukaryota, Metazoa, Chordata, Actinopteri, Salmoniformes, Salmonidae. The record is from RefSeq and is a predicted model, not a curated record.
UAUAUUUUGAGACUCGUUAUCACUAUCAUCGCUAGCAUAGCGUUAGCCUACCUCAAUACAACGCAGAUUUGGCUUGGAAACAUGAUAACAUUUCAAAAGACGUAUCUUUUGAUAAGGGGUCAGGAGCUGAUCUACUAUGCCUGUCAAUGGGGCGCUGCCGGCAAAGACCUCACCUCCAGCCGCACUUCUUGUCUGCUUACCAGUGGUCGUACAUGGGGAGAACAGAUUUAAAACCAUGUAUGGAGUCAGUACAUGGAGACUUGCAAGAAUGAUGUGAUGAAGUCCAGACUGAUAAAUGGGCUUGAUACUGAUGUCCCUGAAUGAAGAGAGACCUGGCAUUAACAUUUUACUAUACACAACCUUUACUUGUAUUGUAUCAGUCAAUAUGGGGUGGGAGAAAACCUGUGUAUUCUGCACCAGGAUCAGGAAACUCCUGUAGUAUAUGGGACACCACUCAGGAAGACAUGACCACUCUGACAUGUUUGCCAAGGCAGCCCCAUUUACCAGACAAAAUGCCGACAAGCACAGUAUCUGUAUCGGCUGGGAAUAACAAUGAAAGGUGAAAGACAACUGCAAACUUCAAGGAGUUGGUCCAAUGGGAAGUCAUGAUGUCAUCGGCCUCCACCUUGCUCGAGGAACAACAGAGGAGCAAUAGAGAACAAAAGAAGAAAGCCCCCCCAGGCCCUCAACCACCGGAUGUAGUAUCUCGUGUGAUCACCCCAGGCCUCAGAAGACCUCUUCAACUACAACAGGAAGCAGUCAUACGACCAGGUCACGACCCCUCUUAUAACACCAUGAGUCAAGCGGAGCCCACCCCGUGAGCCGCAGUGGAAGGUUCCGGUCUCACUGAGGAGCAAGGUGUGGAAGGAUUGUCAGGGGAGGAGAGGGAGACCUAGUCAGCGCAUCAGAAUGAGGAAAAGAAAGAGGGGGAAAGAAAGAAAGAGAGAGAGAGGAGGAGGAGAGGAAACAUCUGUCAAAUAGCAGCCUGUAACAUCAUUACACACAAGGCCCACCGGCUCACCUAACGGCCACAGCUUGGUCUAAUACAGCCUCCAUCCACAGGGUAAACUACUGUGUGACCCGCCAUAGUCAGAACUAUGUACACAUCCAGCCAGGAUGCACCAGGGAGGGGAUGAUGGUGAUGCCUAAGCCCACAAUCGAGACUCAUUGGGGAAGUGUCUUUGACCGCACUUCAUCUUUUGCAUUUUUUUGUUUUUGAACAAGAGGAGAGAGGCAGUGACUGAGGAGUGUGAGAGAUAGAUACUGAGAAAGAGAGAGAGAGAGUAGUCUGCCGCAUGUGUUGGAUGUUAAUAAGAUUCAUUUAACUGUGUUUUCUUUUAACAAGCGAGAUUUACACUCUCAUUAAACUCUUCUAUAGAGAAUUGGUGAAUGAUAUAACGCUGCUGUGUGAUGAUGUAUUUCUCACUGGCCUUAUCACACGCCGGGUAAUUCUAGAACUAUCUUCUCCUUUACAGCAUUAUAGGGUCCUUCGGCAGGGCAUGCAAACUAGUUGUCUGUGCAUCCUGCUGGAAGCAUUAAUUGCAUGGUCAAUCCGUAUAGGGCUUUUCAGGCUAAAACAUCAGUGAUCUUUUCAACGCGUUGGGGGCAAAGAAACAACGGACCCCCAUUCAGUGAAAUGAAGCGAAGUGGGCAGAGGGGCCAUUUGCACGUAGAGCUUGGUAAAAGAGGGCAUGAUUUGUUAACAUAAUUGUAAUCCAAACCCAACCUUAAUUUACUUGUUGUGACACACUGAGGUUCCAAACGUAUCCUAUUUACACACUGUAGUGAAGUUUGACACCAGAAUAAAUGUUUCUGACUCAUAUUGAUGCCACAUAGGCAUAGGGAUUAGUUGGUUUUUAGUAGAGGGUCUGAAAUGUCAUAUUCAAACAAUUGUUAUUCAAACACCUUUACAACCUGAUGGGAAUUUAAGUUUUCUUUAUUUUUCCUGUGAAUGACAGUUCUGACCUACACAUGGCCUACCGACAACUGCCAUGCGCCGAUUUAGGCAUAUUUUUCAAUCAGGAGCUGAUGGGUCAAGGAUGGGGUAUCAGCGUCCCCAGAGAUCUUAUAAAUCUGAGUAUUUUUCCGGAAGGUAAAAAUGGGCCGUUCUCUGUCUCCAAACUGCCUAAUCCCAGCACUUCCUCUCCUCCGCUCCUCUCCCCCUGCCCACAGUGUAAUGCAUUUUCUGUAACUAACAGCCGUUGUUUCCCGAUUGUCACGCUCCCAUCCCUUUCUCCAGGAAUGUGUAUGUCUGUGUGUGUGUGUGCAGGAGGGGAGAAGAGGAGGGGCCAUUGGUCUCUGGUUGUGCAGGGCUCUCUUGUGGUCUUGGAGCCAUGGACACCGAGGCCAGAGUGAGAGAGGGAGAGAGCGAGAGACAGAGAGGGGAGGAGAGAGCGAGAGAGAGGGAGAGAGGCUAGGAGCUGGCAGAGUAUCUGGAUAAGCCAUUACUUUUUACACCACAAACCUCCCCUCCUCCUCCCUCCAUCCCCAGCUCUGUGAUGACUCUGGCAGGCAUGGUGCUGUAACUGGGCCCCAUUACGCCUAGCCCCCCCCUCUCUCCUGGUUGAACAACCACCUCAGCGAAAGACAAACACUCGGAUGUCAAGUCCUCUCGUGCUGGCAGCAUACGGUGCCUUUCAACAGCCUUUAGGGCGUUUAAUUAAGCAUGUCCCUUAUCUGCCCAGAGCCUGACAGACACAGAGCCUCAGGACCUGCAGGGACCACACUAUGUACAGUACUGUAGGCACAACAGGACACCAUGAGGACUUUCUGCAGUUAACCCUAAAUACCAUUCUGAUGAUUUGAUGUCAG